AUUGAACGCUGGCGGCAGGCCUAACACAUGCAAGUCGAGCGGAUGGAGGGAGCUUGCUCCUGGAUUCAGCGGCGGACGGGUGAGUAAUGCCUAGGAAUCUGCCUGGUAGUGGGGGAUAACGUCCGGAAACGGGCGCUAAUACCGCAUACGUCCUGAGGGAGAAAGUGGGGGAUCUUCGGACCUCACGCUAUCAGAUGAGCCUAGGCCGGAUUAGCUAGUUGGUGGGGUAAAGGCCUACCAAGGCGACGAUCCGUAACUGGUCUGAGAGGAUGAUCAGUCACACUGGAACUGAGACACGGUCCAGACUCCUACGGGAGGCAGCAGUGGGGAAUAUUGGACAAUGGGCGAAAGCCUGAUCCAGCCAUGCCGCGUGUGUGAAGAAGGUCUUCGGAUUGUAAAGCACUUUAAGUUGGGAGGAAGGGCAGUAAGUUAAUACCUUGCUGUUUUGACGUUACCAACAGAAUAAGCACCGGCUAACUUCGUG
Molecule: ribosomal RNA, 484 nt
Filed under: uncultured bacterium
Lineage: Bacteria
Description: partial 16S ribosomal RNA
Rfam family: Bacterial small subunit ribosomal RNA
Source: RNAcentral